RNAcentral lists this small RNA (56 nucleotides) under Arabidopsis thaliana (thale cress). RNAcentral's name for it is "ATSL050640". The record is from RNAcentral. Lineage: Eukaryota; Viridiplantae; Streptophyta; Magnoliopsida; Brassicales; Brassicaceae.
UCAUAUAGCUAAGGAUUUGCAUUCUCAUGAUUGAGUUUAGUGUUUAUAGACUUUCU